This 248-nucleotide long non-coding RNA is filed under the name Hordeum vulgare. RNAcentral describes it as "long non-coding RNA (HVUL_LNC012348)". The record is from RNAcentral. Lineage: Eukaryota; Viridiplantae; Streptophyta; Magnoliopsida; Poales; Poaceae.
CAUGAAGGUAGAAUGAACAGGUGCGUCACGAGAAAACGAUGGAAAAACAUAUAAAAACAUAGAGAAUGGAGCUACGGAUCAACCGGAAACUACGAAACAAGAUAUGGAGUCCUACGGUUCAAAUCCACCACAAGCACACUCCAAUGGCACUUCUCUGGUGUUCCCAGGUUGCCACAUGAUCAAACAAACAAAUAUAGGUGGCGUGGUGCAAAGAAACUCACCACACCACUAACAAUACUAACACAAGC